GCCCUCGUAGCUCAGGAGGAUAGAGCACUUGAUUCCUAAUCAAGGUGUCGCAUGUUCGAGUCAUGCCGAGGGCG
Denitrovibrio acetiphilus DSM 12809 is the source of this 74-nucleotide transfer RNA. It matches the Rfam family "tRNA". Rfam says of the family: Transfer RNA (tRNA) molecules are approximately 80 nucleotides in length. The record is from Rfam. Lineage: Bacteria; Pseudomonadati; Deferribacterota; Deferribacteres; Deferribacterales; Geovibrionaceae.